UCAAGCAUGGCCGCGUUAAAUCAUGCCACGAAGUGUCAGAGUGUCUCGUUUUCUCCCUGUUUGAGGGAGAAAAGGCUGUCCGAGGUUCGCGAUGGCUUCCGACUGGUACUGAAGUGGACCACGAAAGAGUGCUCGAGCUGCUCAAAAGAGUGGAUACUUUCUGAUCGAAGAUCGAAGUACCAGGCUCUGGCAGCUUUGCGGAGCGUGGCGGGGAAGCCGAUGCAAAGAAGAGCAUCGGUCGCCCCUU
This 247-nucleotide long non-coding RNA is filed under the name Elaeis guineensis (African oil palm). RNAcentral describes it as "long non-coding RNA (EGUI_LNC024444)". The record is from RNAcentral. Lineage: Eukaryota; Viridiplantae; Streptophyta; Magnoliopsida; Arecales; Arecaceae.